AGCAGCCGCGGUAAUUCCAGCUCCAAUAGCGUAUAUUAAAGUUGCUGCAGUUAAAAGCUCGUAGUUGAAUUUCGGGACUAAUAUGUCGGUCGUGCCUCGGUACGUACUGGCUUAUUGGUUUCUCCUUUCUGAAGAACCAUGAUGUCAUUUAUUUGGUGUCGUGGGGAAUCAGGACUGUUACUUUGAAAAAUUAGAGUGUUUAAAGCAGGCUUACGCUUGAACACAUUAGCAUGGAAUAAUGAAAUAGGACGUUUGAUUCUAUUUUGUUGGUUUCUAGGAUCGACGUAAUGAUUAAUAGGGAUAGUUGGGGGCAUUAGUAUUCAAUUGUCAGAGGUGAAAUUCUUGGAUUUAUUGAAGACUAACUACUGCGAAAGCAUUUGCCAAGGAUGUUUUCAUUAAUCAAGAACGAAAGUUAGGGAUCGAAGACGAUCAGAUACCGUCGUAGUCUUAACCAUAAACUAUGCCGACUAGGGAUCGGAUGAUGUUAAUUUUUAAUGUACUCUAUUCGGCGUCCUUACGG
This 520-nucleotide unclassified non-coding RNA is filed under the name uncultured Glomus. RNAcentral describes it as "SSU rRNA". It matches the Rfam family "Eukaryotic small subunit ribosomal RNA", at positions 569 to 1093 of the family's 1831-position model. Lineage: Eukaryota; Fungi; Glomeromycota; Glomeromycetes; Glomerales; Glomeraceae. The record is from RNAcentral.